Long non-coding RNA from Myzus persicae (green peach aphid), 636 nucleotides. RefSeq lists it as uncharacterized. The record is from RefSeq and is a predicted model, not a curated record. The transcript is spliced from 2 exons. Lineage: Eukaryota; Metazoa; Arthropoda; Insecta; Hemiptera; Aphididae.
AACAAUACUAUUAUUAUUAUUUACUGUGCUUAUGGUUUUUUUUAUUAUUAUGUUGGCGGCAGUGUACGUGUCAGCAACGUCUGGUCGGGCACCACUGUCCAGAAUACGGCUUUCGUCCAAGUCGUCGGUUAACUUUAUAUAAAUGUUUUUUUUGUUUUUAUGGCAACUGCCGAGCAGUCAUCAGCUCUAAAAUCUUUUUUCUUUUACUUUUGUCGCAGCCGAGUCUGGUCAAAGCGCAUGUUUUUCUCGUUCUUGUCGCAGCCGAGUCUGGUCAAUUAAUCAAAUUUGUAUUCAUUAUUAAAGCGUUAAGUAGUCAAAUCGAAGACCAAUGUGAAGCACGUUGCAUUUUUUAUUAUUAUUAUAUUUCAUUUUUUGGUCGCAGUCACUGAAGAUUCUGGUAGGACAUUGUUUUUCUUGUAUUGGCGGUGCCUUACUGCAAAGAGUGCAUCAGUCGGAAUUUGAGUCAUUUAUUGGGUUUGCUCUUGUCAUUGUGUGGCUAGCGGUGUUGAAGCACAUGUGCGGGAUCACACCUGUUAAUUUUUCUUAUUUGUAUAAUCGUUUAACUACAGAUCCCGGCAUUGCUCAACCCAUAAUCAUACCUGGGUAAGUGGUGCACCACUAUUAUUUAUUAUUAUU